UACUUAAGUGGUGUGUGGUCGUGUUUGGGCAGUCGAGCAAGAAGCAGAACAUACCUACCCCACCAUGCCGAUUCUCGCCAUGGAUGGCAUGGAUUUCUUCUUCGAGGAAUCUAGAGCAGGGUAAUCUUCUGGAAAAAAAAAUCCUAUUUCUCGCCUAGUUUCUUGCUGACUCGUAUCGUGUUUCGGUGCCGGGGUUGUCUUAAGAGAUCUAGUUGCCGGCGCACACCUGGCUGAGGGUAACACGAGUGGAACUGGCGAUGCGGAGGAGGACCUAAUUUCUUCUGUGCAGAUAGGACCAGCUGGAAGCCGCAUGGAUUACGAAGGGGACGAGAAUAUUGGUGAAACAUUAAUUGCGCACUAGGAGGGAGGGAGGGGGUGCGGCUCGUAUGAUCUUGGCGGCGAAGGGAUGAGUGAUUCAUGCGAGAUAGGUGAUUCAAAUAUUGCGUCUGAUGCCGCGGAACAGGAUGCAGACGAGGAGGGCGAGGGAGUAACCAAUGCAAAUCAAUCUUCUUGGACCAUGAGGGUCAAAGUUGGGAAGGCAACGGAUGAGAGGGAACCGAGCCCUUCAAGGAUGCCUGCCCUUGAAGCUUGUGUCCGUGCAUAUGUCGAUAAAAUAUCAGGAAAUGUUGUCAAUCCAUCGAUUGGGACUAAUUUUGAUUCUGUUGAAAAAGGCUAUGAGUUCUACAAUAUGUAUUCCUGGGAGGUUGGUUUUGGUGUCCGCUAUGCCAAAAGCCAUCUGAAUGUACACCGGAAAACAUCCCAAUUGAGGUACAUGCAUCUCA
Triticum aestivum (bread wheat) is the source of this 782-nucleotide long non-coding RNA. RefSeq lists it as uncharacterized. The record is from RefSeq and is a predicted model, not a curated record. NCBI's taxonomy places the organism in Eukaryota, Viridiplantae, Streptophyta, Magnoliopsida, Poales, Poaceae. The transcript has 3 exons.